UACGUAGGGCGCAAGCGUUGUCCGGAAUUAUUGGGCGUAAAGAGCUCGUAGGCGGUUUGUCGCGUCUGCUGUGAAAACGCGAGGCUCAACCUCGCGCCUGCAGUGGGUACGGGCAGACUAGAGUGUGGUAGGGGAGAUUGGAAUUCCUGGUGUAGCGGUGGAAUGCGCAGAUAUCAGGAGGAACACCGAUGGCGAAGGCAGAUCUCUGGGCCAUUACUGACGCUGAGGAGCGAAAGCGUGGGGAGCGAACAGG
Molecule: ribosomal RNA, 253 nt
Filed under: uncultured bacterium
Lineage: Bacteria
Description: partial 16S ribosomal RNA
Rfam family: Bacterial small subunit ribosomal RNA
Source: RNAcentral